RNAcentral lists this ribosomal RNA (253 nucleotides) under uncultured bacterium. RNAcentral describes it as "partial 16S ribosomal RNA". It matches the Rfam family "Bacterial small subunit ribosomal RNA", at positions 524 to 776 of the family's 1533-position model. The record is from RNAcentral.
GACAGAGGGGGCAAGCGUUGCUCGGAAUUACUGGGCGUAAAGGGCGCGUAGGCGGGAUGGCAAGUCGGUCGUGAAAUCCCUCGGCUCAACCGAGGAACGUCGAUCGAUACUGCUGUUCUUGAGGAUUGCAGAGGAGACUGGAAUUCCCGGUGUAGCGGUGAAACGUGUAGAGAUCGGGAGGAACACCGGUGGCGAAGGCGGGUCUCUGGGCAAUUCCUGACGCUGAGGCGCGAAAGCGUGGGGAGCAAACGGG